UUGGAGGGCAAGUCUGGUGCCUGCAGCCGCGGUAAUUCCAGCUCCAAUAGCGUAUAUUAAAGUUGUUGAGGUUAAAAAGCUCGUAGUUGAACCUUGGGCCUAGCCGGCCGGUCCGCCUCACCGCGUGCACUGGCUCGGCUGGGUCUUUCCUUCUGGAGAACCGCAUGCCCUUCACUGGGUGUGCCGGGGAACCAGGACUUUUACUCUGAACAAAUUAGAUCGCUUAAAGAAGGCCUAUGCUCGAAUACAUUAGCAUGGAAUAAUAGAAUAGG
RNAcentral lists this ribosomal RNA (272 nucleotides) under uncultured Ascomycota. RNAcentral describes it as "partial 18S ribosomal RNA". It matches the Rfam family "Eukaryotic small subunit ribosomal RNA", at positions 548 to 826 of the family's 1831-position model. The record is from RNAcentral. Lineage: Eukaryota; Fungi; Ascomycota.